Anguilla rostrata (American eel) is the source of this 1244-nucleotide long non-coding RNA. RefSeq lists it as uncharacterized. The transcript has 2 exons. NCBI's taxonomy places the organism in Eukaryota, Metazoa, Chordata, Actinopteri, Anguilliformes, Anguillidae. The record is from RefSeq and is a predicted model, not a curated record.
AGGAAAAACCUGAAUAAAUGAGUGGAGAAACAUAAUGAAUGCAGAUGCUUCCAUACAGGUGUACUGCAUGAUCCAAUUAAGCAAUUAACAUCCUAUCAUGCUCUGUGGCAUGUAUAAAAGCCCAGUUGACGACAAUUUUGGAUCGAGAUGGCAAGAGGAAAAGAUCUAAGUGAUUUUGAAAGAGGGUUCAUUAUUGGGGCACAGAUCAUAGAUUCUACUAGUCUCUAGAACGCUAUAUUAAAUUUAUUUGGCAAAUGCUUUAUAACUACAAAACGCAGGUCCGAUAAGCGUAUUUCCUUUCUUCUCAGUCUGAGAGAGGGCACUCGAGGUGAAUGAUCGAGGGGGCUUCAUUAAGGGAGAGAGCAAGAAGAGCAGGGGGAAGAGGAACCCCCAAGGAAGAGAGUUACAGAGGAAAGCCUGGAGGAAUCCCGGGAACACUCGGGCUCCAACAACCAACCUGCUAACUGCCCUGUAAUCACCACUCUUCCCCAGUAUGGGAAAUAAUAAUUAUACUGCACAGCUGCACUAUUCUGGACCUCUCUCUUUCAUUGUUGCUCCUUCCCUCCCUCCACAGCACGGACCUGGCGAGAAAAUAUUUUGCAAAUCAAAAAUCAGCGCUCCAAACAAACAGCACCUCUUGUGGACAGUUUGGGUAAAACACUCAAGGGCUGCUGUUAUGUGUGAAAUUUUGCUUCUAACUGCAUUCCGAGAGUCACUUGCUUGCCUUGGUUGCAUUGCUCUCUCAUGGACAACACAGGUCAUAACACCUUUACCACACAGUGUUAUAUUACUUUGGAAUCUAAAUGGCUUUACUAUGAGGCCCAUUAAUGGUGGGUAACAGGGAUGCAGAUCUUUUGUCUUUCGACAGCAGAUAUGUCCAUUUCUGUCACUUUUUAGCCCCCAAGUAGCCUUUGUUGUGAAUUGGGACUGAAUCUGUGCAGACCACCAUACUGUUUAGAAGCACCAAACAUGCAGGUCGGUCUAGUUUACUGGGCUCUGUCUGAGACCUUGGUUUUCUGGAAAAGGAGGAUUGUGUUGGAUAUUAAAAUGUGGAUAUAUAAAAAUCUUUCCAACAUACUAAUAUGCUGCAAAACAAAGUAAGAAACUUUGAAAUCAAUAAUACAUGACAAUUUUCAAAAAAAUAAUCAUUUUGUAUAAGAGCAUACAUAGAGAAAAAAUAGAAAAGGAAAAAGCAACCAUCUGUUUAUCUAUGUAGGAACAGUAGACAGAUUAAGCUAAUCAGU